GAUGAACGCUGGCGGGGUGCCUAAUACAUGCAAGUCGAGCGAACGGACGAGAAGCUUGCUUCUCUGAUGUUAGCGGCGGACGGGUGAGUAACAUGUGGAUAACCUACCUAUAAGACUGGGAUAACUUCGGGAAACCGGAGCUAAUACCGGAUAAUAUUUUGAACCGCAUGGUUCAAAAGUGAAAGACGGUCUUGCUGUCACUUAUAGAUGGAUCCGCGCUGCAUUAGCUAGUUGGUAAGGUAACGGCUUACCAAGGCAACGAUGCAUAGCCGACCUGAGAGGGUGAUCGGCCACACUGGAACUGAGACACGGUCCAGACUCCUACGGGAGGCAGCAGUAGGGAAUCUUCCGCAAUGGGCGAAAGCCUGACGGAGCAACGCCGCGUGAGUGAUGAAGGUCUUCGGAUCGUAAAACUCUGUUAUUAGGGAAGAACAUAUGUGUAAGUAACUGUGCACAUCUUGACGGUACCUAAUCAGAAAGCCACGGCUAACUACGUG
This 497-nucleotide ribosomal RNA is filed under the name uncultured bacterium. RNAcentral describes it as "partial 16S ribosomal RNA". It matches the Rfam family "Bacterial small subunit ribosomal RNA", at positions 28 to 507 of the family's 1533-position model. The record is from RNAcentral.